RNAcentral lists this transfer RNA (69 nucleotides) under Urocitellus parryii (Arctic ground squirrel). RNAcentral describes it as "Spermophilus parryii (Arctic ground squirrel) tRNA". It matches the Rfam family "tRNA". From Rfam's summary of the family: Transfer RNA (tRNA) molecules are approximately 80 nucleotides in length. RNAcentral also lists the same sequence under 1 other name. The record is from Rfam by way of RNAcentral. Lineage: Eukaryota; Metazoa; Chordata; Mammalia; Rodentia; Sciuridae.
GGUGUUGUGGCUCAGUGGUAGAGCACUUGCCUAGCAUGUGCAAGGCCCUGGGUUCAAUCCUCAGUACCA